GUCGUGGUGCCCUUUCUAAAGCACUGCCCUUGUAAAUCAUGUAAUGGAAUGUGACACUGAGCCAGCUGGUUAGUUGUGUGUGGUUUCUGUGGGGACCUGCAUCCACUUUCCAUGCAUGGCUGGCCUAGUCUAGACAGUGGGUGAAACCUCUGGCCGGGAUAAGGUGAGAGGGUAUAGAGGAAGAACAGCUUUCGUGAGACACCUGAACUCCACUCAUGGCUGUCUGUGACUAUAGUGUCAGUUUAAUCAGGUAUCUCCAGGGGUGUUUUUAGAGGUGUUAAUUAUAUAAGAUUGAAUGUAGAGAGUAAUUAUCUGGAUAAUUAAAGUUGAAUAAAACCUAUUUUACCGCAAAUUUUAGGUCAUUGGGAAAAAGUCUGAAUUGUAUUUAUAUACCACUUAGAAAAGUAUUCUUUUUUACGUUAUAACAACAACAACAACAAAAAAAACCUAUUUGGAAGGAGGGAUUCCCAAAUGUGGAAACAUUUAAAUUUAAAGGUUCAUUAAAUUUUUAUGUGAUUUAAAAUUUUUAGUGUCUGUGUCUUUGCUUUAACUAUUUUUUCCUUCCCUUGUCUUUCCUUGAAGGCCAGUUUGGGACCUCUUCUGCCUAGGAAAUAGAGUACUGCCUGCUCUGAUGACACUUUGGGGUACAAAUAAGAGAUUUCAUCUCCAGCGUUGAAGAAAAUGAAAGCAUUAGUAGAAAGAAGGAGGAGUGUUCCAUCUCUUCUCCCAGAUAAAGCCCUGCAGGAACAGCCUGGUACCAGCAUCUAUGUCUUCUGAUUAUACUCAAGACCAUUUGCCAGAGCAUGGCAUAAAAUCUUCAAUUCAGAAAGUGAUACUGAGAAGAUAUAUAAGCUGUGCCUUUCAGAAUUUAAACUUAAGGAAAGACUGGGAAAAUGUGGAGUUUCUGUGAAAGCAUCUAGCAGUUUUUGCUACAUCAAAUCUAUGAAAGUUUCUUCUGAAUUUGGUGGGCAUCAUUGAUAUACUCUUCCAAGGAAAAUUAAGGACACUGAAAUGUUAGAUGCCUGACAAACUCUAAAUGGAGAGGCUCUUUGUGAUUGACUAGUGAUGUAUGAGAUAGAAUAUUUUCCUGCAUUACAGUAAGAGAGAAAGAUUUUGAAUUUUAGAAUUAAAUUGUUUUACCAAGUGCAUAUGAAGGUAAUAAAAUACAAUAGAUUUUGUAAUGCGUCUUUUUAGUCUAUGUAUGAACUUAAUUUGUUUUGAUGAAAAAAGUUAAUGUGUUGACUGUUAAGCAUUGAAUGAAGUGUUAACCUUCCACUUUCAUUAAACUAGCCCACCUUUUUCUUUAUUUUUUUUUUUUAAGUAGACAUUAUUUUCUUAGGUUCAUGGCAAAAUUGGUCAGAAGAUACAGAGAUUUCCCACAUACCCCCUGCCUCCCACUUGCAUAGCCUCCCCCAUUAUUAACACCCCUCACCAGAGUGGUACAUUUGUUAUAAUGAGCCUGCACUGAUUCGUCAUUAUCUCCCAAAGUCCACAGUUUACACUAGGGCUCACUCUUAGUGUUGCACAUGCUAUGGGUUGGACGUGUGUAAUGAUAUUCCCCCACCAUACGGCAUUGGACAGAGUGGUUUAGUGCCCUGAAAGUCCUCUGUGCUCUAGUAGCCCAUCCCCCCUCCCCUCUAACUACAGAUCUUUUUUACUGUCUCCAUAAUUUUGCCUUUUACAGAAGGUCAUAUGAUUGCAAUCAAACAGUAUGUAGCCUUCUUAGACUGACUUCUUUCACUUAGCAAUAUGCACUUGGCUCACCUUUUUCAAGGUUGUAGGUAACUCAUAGUAACAAUAUACUAUUGAGUAACAUAGUAGAAUAACAUUUUUAACAAUCUUUAUUCCAAUAGGCUUUAAACUUCAAAUACUUUAAAGAAUAUUUUUUCAUAGGUCAUAUUUUUAUUCUUUAUGUAACUAAAGGAUUACACAGCCAUUAUGAUGGUUAUAAUGGAUGUUAUACAGGAGUAUAAUAAAAAUCCAUCCAUGUCUAUAUCCUAAAUGACUAUUUACAAAAUUUUAUCCUACAUUUUUUUUUUAUUUCAGCAUAU
Molecule: non-coding RNA, 2051 nt
Organism: Microcebus murinus (gray mouse lemur)
Lineage: Eukaryota; Metazoa; Chordata; Mammalia; Primates; Cheirogaleidae
Source: RefSeq, a predicted model, not a curated record